This 1440-nucleotide ribosomal RNA is filed under the name Haloterrigena sp. E49. RNAcentral's name for it is "bacterial SSU rRNA". It matches the Rfam family "Archaeal small subunit ribosomal RNA". The record is from RNAcentral. Lineage: Archaea; Methanobacteriati; Methanobacteriota; Halobacteria; Halobacteriales; Natrialbaceae.
AAAUAUGGCUAUUGGGAGUCCGAUUUAUCCAUGCUCUAUUGCACGAGUUGAGACUCGUAGCCUACUACUCUCAGCAGAGAGAUACAAACUACCCUGUCGAUCUGUAUCUCUCUCGGAGACUAGAGAUAUCCGGAAUACGGCUCACCGCCUGGAGUGGUGUGAGCCCGAAACGCUCCGGCGCGACAGGAUGUGUCUGCGGCCGAUUAGGUAGACGGUGGGGUAACGGCCCACCGUGCCCAUAAUCGGUACGGGUUGUGAGAGCAAGAGCCCGGAGACGGUAUCUGAGACAAGAUACCGGGCCCUACGGGGCGCAGCAGGCGCGAAACCUUUACACUGCACGCGAGUGCGAUAAGGGGACUCCGAGUGCGAGGGCAUAUAGUCCUCGCUUUUCGCCACCGUAAGGUGGUGGUGGAAUAAGUGCUGGGCAAGACCGGUGCCAGCCGCCGCGGUAAUACCGGCAGCACGAGUGAUGACCGCUAUUAUUGGGCCUAAAGCGUCCGUAGCCUGGCGCGCAAGUCUGUCGGGAAUCUCUCUGCUUAACACACAGGCGUCCGGCAGAACUGCGUGGCUUGGGACGGAAGAUCAGAGGGUACGUCCGGGGUAGGAGUGAAUCCCGUAAUCCUGGACGGACCCCCGGUGGCGAAAAGCGCCUUUGGAAAGACGGAUCCGACGGUGAGGGACGAAAGCUCGGGUCACGAACCGGAUUAGAUACCCGGGUAGUCCGAGCUGUAAACGAUGUUUGCUAAGUUUGGUACAGGCUACGAGCCUUUACUGAGCUCUAGGGAAGCCGUGAAGCGAACCGCCUGGGAAGUACGUCUGCAAGGAUGAAACUUAAAGGAAUUGGCGGGGGAGCACUACAACCGGAGGAGCCUGCGGUUUAAUUGGACUCAACGCCGGACAUCUCACCAGCAUCGACAAUGUGCAGUGAAAGUCAGGUUGAUGACCUUACUGGAGCCAUUGAGAGGAGGUGCAUGGCCGCCGUCAGCUCGUACCGUGAGGCGUCCUGUUAAGUCAGGCAACGAGCGAGACCCGCACUCCUAAUUGCCAGCAACACCUAGCGGUGGUUGGGUACAUUAGGAGGACUGCCAGUGCCAAACUGGAGGAAGGAACGGGCAACGGUAGGUCAGUAUGCCCCGAAUGUGCUGGGCGACACGCGGGCUACAAUGGCCGAGACAGUGGGAUGCAACCCCGAAAGGGGGCGCUAAUCUCCGAAACUCGGUCGUAGUUCGGAUUGAGGGCUGAAACUCGCCCUCAUGAAGCUGGAUUCGGUAGUAAUCGCGCCUCAGAAGGGCGCGGUGAAUACGUUCCCUGCUCCCUUGCACACGCGAACCCGUCAAAGCACCCGAGUGGGGUCCUUAUGAGGGCCGGGAAAGAGCGACCCGGUGCGAAUCUGGGCUCCGCAUAGGGCGGCGCUUAAGUUCGAAACAAGGAGCCUGAGGG